Molecule: non-coding RNA, 129 nt
Organism: Solanum lycopersicum (tomato)
Lineage: Eukaryota; Viridiplantae; Streptophyta; Magnoliopsida; Solanales; Solanaceae
Gene: MIR160A
Product: microRNA MIR160a
Source: RefSeq, marked provisional
CAAGUCGUGUACACGUAUAUGCCUGGCUCCCUGUAUGCCAUUUGCAAAGCUCACCGUAAUAUAUCGAUGGGCCUUGUUGAAUGGCGUAUGAGGAGCCAAGCAUAUUCCGAUAUCGUGUAUAUGAUGUUG